Molecule: ribosomal RNA, 361 nt
Filed under: uncultured bacterium
Lineage: Bacteria
Description: bacterial SSU rRNA
Rfam family: Bacterial small subunit ribosomal RNA
Source: RNAcentral
AACGAACGCUGGCGGCAGGCUUAACACAUGCAAGUCGAACGCGUGUAGCAAUACACGAGUGGCGCACGGGUGAGUAACGCGUGGAUAUCUGCCUUUUGGUUCGGAAUAACCCCGGGAAACUGGGGCUAAUACCGGAUGGUUCCUUCGGGAUAAAGAUUUAUCGCCAAAAAGAUGAGUCCGCGUACGAUUAGCUAGUUGGUGAGGUAAUGGCUCACCAAGGCGACGAUCGUUAGCUGGUCGAGAGGACGAUCAGCCACACUGGGACUGAGACACGGCCCAGACUCCUACGGGAGGCAGCAGUGGGGAAUAUUGGACAAGUGGGGGCAACCCUGAUCCAGCCAUGCCGCGUGAGUGAUGAAGG